Molecule: long non-coding RNA, 423 nt
Filed under: Rhinolophus ferrumequinum (greater horseshoe bat)
Lineage: Eukaryota; Metazoa; Chordata; Mammalia; Chiroptera; Rhinolophidae
Description: lncRNA (ENSRFEG00010013197.1)
Source: RNAcentral
CGGAGGGUUAAGAUGGGAGUUAGCGGGGCGUCGGUGACGUAGUUCCUCCUGCGCUUUGUUCCAAGAUGUGGGUCAGGCGCUUUCGGUGAGGGUGAUUCAAGAACCCAUUAGGAAUUUCCUCACCAAACCCAAGGAAGACAUCAGGCAAGCUCUGAUGGGCAGAUCCUUUGGAGUGAGGCGACUGUGCACGAGGGAGUGAGUGAUUCCUAUCCCUCCAGUUAAUUAAUAACCAAGGAUCAUGUGACCACUUCUCUGAGGGACCUGAACAGUCAGAUGAUGCUGGCGAAUUAAAGGAAUACAAUCUCCCUAGGUAAAAACAAAAAAAAACCAAAAAAAACACAAACUCUCUCUCUCUCUCCUCUCCUCUCUCUCCUCCUCUCUCCUCUCUCUCUCUCUCUCUCUCUCUCUCUCUCUCUCUCUCUC